GCACACACCACCCCCUAAGGUACCAGGCUCAGGCCAGCUAGAGAAAUGGAAGGAUCUUCUUGUAGCAGAACUCAAAGGAAAGCCCAAAGACUGUGGCAUAAAAACAACCUCCAUUGCGGCAAGAUUUGUACAUAUUGACCUGGGAGAGGCUGCAUUCAGUUCCCCUCCAGGACUUUUAUGAAUUGGAAAUAUGCCCCCGGCUUAGCCAAGGUCAUGGGCACCACUCCUUGAGCUUGGGGUCUUCCACCAGUACAACUGAAAACCCUGGACAUCAUGUAUAAAGCACACCUAAGAAGAAGACUGAAGUGGAGAGAACAAGACAGACCAACUAGGGACUUUGGGAACCAAGGAAUGACACAGCACUGAGUUCCUUCUUUUUCGUGUUUGG
RNAcentral lists this long non-coding RNA (388 nucleotides) under Equus asinus (donkey). RNAcentral describes it as "lncRNA (ENSEASG00005023798.1)". The record is from RNAcentral. Lineage: Eukaryota; Metazoa; Chordata; Mammalia; Perissodactyla; Equidae.